RNAcentral lists this ribosomal RNA (502 nucleotides) under uncultured bacterium. RNAcentral's name for it is "bacterial SSU rRNA". It matches the Rfam family "Bacterial small subunit ribosomal RNA", at positions 355 to 874 of the family's 1533-position model. The record is from RNAcentral.
UGGGGAAUCUUGGACAAUGGGCGCAAGCCUGAUCCAGCCAUGCCGCGUGAGUGAUGAAGGCCCUAGGGUUGUAAAGCUCUUUCAACGGUGAAGAUAAUGACGGUAACCGUAGAAGAAGCCCCGGCUAACUUCGUGCCAGCAGCCGCGGUAAUACGAAGGGGGCUAGCGUUGUUCGGAUUUACUGGGCGUAAAGCGCACGUAGGCGGAUCGUUAAGUGAGGGGUGAAAUCCCAGGGCUCAACCCCGGAACUGCCUCCAAAACUAUUGGUCUAGAGUUCGAGAGAGGUGAGUGGAAUUCCAAGUGUAGAGGUGAAAUUCGUAGAUAUUUGGAGGAACACCAGUGGCGAAGGCGGCUCACUGGCUCGAUACUGACGCUGAGGUGCGAAAGUGUGGGGAGCAAACAGGAUUAGAUACCCUGGUAGUCCACGCUGUAAACGAUGGGUACUCGGUGGUGCGGGUGUCGACCCUGCGCUGCCUUAGCUAACGCGUUAAGUACCCCGCCU